RNAcentral lists this ribosomal RNA (344 nucleotides) under uncultured Verrucomicrobiota bacterium. Its description in RNAcentral is "bacterial SSU rRNA". It matches the Rfam family "Bacterial small subunit ribosomal RNA", at positions 29 to 351 of the family's 1533-position model. The record is from RNAcentral. Lineage: Bacteria; Pseudomonadati; Verrucomicrobiota.
AACGAACGCUGGCGGCGUGGAUAAGACAUGCAAGUCGAACGCUGAUUACAGGGUAGCAAUAUUCUGUAGUCGGAGUGGCGCAAGGGUGCGUAACACGUGGGCAAUCUGCCGUGAAGUCUGGAAUAACUUGCUGAAAGGCGAGCUAAUGCCGGAUGUGACAACUGGAAGGCAUCUUUUGGUUGUCAAAGUUGGGGACCGCAAGGCCUGACGCUUCACGAUGAACCCGCGGCCUAUCAGCUAGUUGGUGAGGUAACGGCUCACCAAGGCUAAGACGGGUAGCUGGUCUGAGAGGACGACCAGCCACACUGGAACUGAGACACGGUCCAGACACCUACGGGUGGCAG